This 1684-nucleotide long non-coding RNA is filed under the name Homo sapiens (human). RNAcentral describes it as "HSALNT0297615". The record is from RNAcentral. Lineage: Eukaryota; Metazoa; Chordata; Mammalia; Primates; Hominidae.
CAGACAGGCUACAGGAAAUAGCAGAUUGGGAGAGGAGUGGGAACAGGAGAAGCUGUCUUUGGCUCGGCUGGAAGGUGAAGGGAUUCCAGAUGCCGGUUCCUGGCUUGCUCCCCGCUCUCCAUUUGGCUUCAUCCUGGGGCUCUCUUCCUCCCCACAGAGGGGUGGUGGGCACUCUGUGCCACACCUCUCCUCUCUGGGAUCUCAGGUCUGUCCCUGAAACCUGCUGGUAGAAGAACCUCUAGAGUCCUUGCCUCCUUCCCACCGUGUGACCAUUGCCCAUUGGCACAUCUGUCAAGACACAGAUUUUUGGAAGAAAAAAGAAAGAGUGAAUGCUGCAGAGAUGGAUUGUUAAUUUUCCAAAUGAGAUAUGACUCUGAGAUCCCACCUACCCAGCUGGUAGGACGUUCCACCAUGCUCCCUAAGGUGGUUUGAGUGUUUGGAAUGACAAAGACUCUCUCAUCACCCUGAAACCUUAGUCCGGCGGCGCCUCUGAGUCUUCUGCUUGACGAGGCCUGACCUUGGGCUUCCCCAUGUCCUUUCAGAAUCCAGUUUGAGCAAGAAUCCUGCUAAGUCAGGUUUCUACCAUUUCAAUUCUUUGUGGAACUCAAUCUGUUUUCUUAACUGAUGCAAAAAAGACCACUUAAAGAUGGAGUCUCGCUCUGUCGCCCAGGCUGGAGUGCAGUGGUGCGAUCUCGGCUCACUACAAGCUCCGCCUCCUGGGUUCCCACUAUUCUCCUGCCUCAGCCUCCCAAGUAGCUGGGACUACAGGUGUCUGCCACCACGCCCAGCUAAUUUUUUGUAUUUUUAGUAGAGAUGGGGUUUCACCGUGUCAGCCAGGAUGGUCUCGGUCUCCUGACCUUGUGAUCCGCCUGCCUCGGCCUCCCAAAGUGCUGGGAUUACGGGCAUGAGCCACAGCGCUCAGCCCUAAUUUUUGUAUUUUUAGUAGAAAAGGGGUUUCACUAUGUUGGCCAUGCUGGUCUUGAAUUCCUGAACUCAGGUGAUCCGCCCACCUUGACCUCCCAAAAUGCUGGGAUUACAGGCAUGAGCCACCGCACCUGGUUUCUUAACAUUCUUUGCCACCUCCUCUGCUAUAUCUAUUUACUUUGUAUCCACCAGAUCGAAAGCUCAGGUCUAAUUCCCUGUACCUAGAAUAUUGCCUGUAGUGUAGUAGGCACUUAAGGUUUUGUUGAGUGAGAGAAUGAAUAAACAAACAGAAGGAUUUGCUUUUCAAACCAGAGCCUCCCUGCCUCCUGCUCUGCCUGCUAAGGAUCAGGAGGAGACAGCAGCUAAGGAAGGCAGUCCUGAAUUUUCCCUAGGGAUAGGGAGUAAGUGGGGGGAUCCCUGAGAAACGCUGGAAGCACCCACUCUGCUGCCAAGGCUGCGAGGAAAACAGGCCAGAGUAUCCUAACAGCCUCCACUCAGAAGGGGCCUGGAAACUUUUAACCAGACAAAAUAACAAAUGCAGUGGUUUAGGGCUUGGUGGGGCUUCCCACCCGUCCCACCCCUGUCCCACACACCUAGGCCCACAUUGAAUGCCCUCAGCACCUCCGGCUGCACAGGGGCCUGUUUUCCCUGACUCUGCUGCUGUUCACAGAACCAACUUCCUCCCACCCCACACAGACGCUCCCUUCCCAGAGCUCAUUGGGAACCUUCUGAUUUGCAUCUCCAAAGAAAUAAAAUAAAU